RNAcentral lists this ribosomal RNA (253 nucleotides) under uncultured bacterium. RNAcentral's name for it is "partial 16S ribosomal RNA". It matches the Rfam family "Bacterial small subunit ribosomal RNA", at positions 524 to 776 of the family's 1533-position model. The record is from RNAcentral.
UACGUAGGGUGCGAGCGUUAAUCGGAAUUACUGGGCGUAAAGCGUGUGUAGGCGGCCACGUAAGUCAGGUGUGAAAGCCCCAGGCUUAACCUGGGAAGUGCACUUGAUACUGCAUGGCUUGAGUAUCGGAGAGGUUGGUGGAAUUCCAGGUGUAGCGGUGAAAUGCGUAGAGAUCUGGAGGAAUACCGGUGGCGAAGGCGGCCCCCUGGACGAAGACUGACGCUCAGGUGCGAAAGCGUGGGGAGCAAACAGG